ACUCAAAUGAAUUGACGGGGACCCGCACAAGCAGCGGAGUGUGUGGUUUAAUUCGAUGCAACGCGAAGAACCUUACCAGGGUUUGACAUGCUCUCGCACCGUCUGGAGACAGGCGUGCCCGCAAGGGACGGGAGCACAGGUGCUGCAUGGCUGUCGUCAGCUCGUGCCGUGAGGUGUUGGGUUAAGUCCCCUAACGAGCGCAACCCCUGUCGCUGGUUGUACUUUUCCAGCGAGACUGCCGCGCGCAACGCGGAGGAAGGUGGGGAUGAUGUCAAGUCAGCACGGCCCUGACGUCCUGGGCGACACACACACUACAAUGGCUGGUACAACGGGCUGCGAAGCGGCAACGCGGAGCCAAUCCCAGCAAAGCCAGCCCCAGUUCAGAUUGUCGGCUGCAACCCGCCGGCAUGAAGGAGGAGUUGCUAGUAAUCACCGGUCAGCAUACGGUGGUGAAUACGUUCCCGGGUCUUGUACACACCGCCCGU
This 485-nucleotide ribosomal RNA is filed under the name uncultured bacterium. RNAcentral describes it as "partial 16S ribosomal RNA". It matches the Rfam family "Bacterial small subunit ribosomal RNA", at positions 899 to 1397 of the family's 1533-position model. The record is from RNAcentral.